This 254-nucleotide ribosomal RNA is filed under the name uncultured bacterium. RNAcentral's name for it is "partial 16S ribosomal RNA". It matches the Rfam family "Bacterial small subunit ribosomal RNA", at positions 524 to 776 of the family's 1533-position model. The record is from RNAcentral.
UACGUAGGGUCCGAGCGUUGUCCGGAGUUACUGGGCGUAAAGCGCGCGCAGGCGGCGGUGUUGGCCCGGCGUGAAAGCCCCCGGCUCAACCGGGGAGAGUCGUCGGGGACCGCACCGCUUGAGGGCGGUAGGGGCUGGUGGAAUGCCUGGUGUAGUGGUGAAAUGCGUAGAUAUCAAGAGGAACACCUGAGGUGAAGACGGGUUGCUGGGCCGACACUGACGCUGAGUGCGCGAAAGCCAGGGGAGCAAACGGG